RNAcentral lists this ribosomal RNA (412 nucleotides) under uncultured microorganism. RNAcentral's name for it is "bacterial SSU rRNA". It matches the Rfam family "Archaeal small subunit ribosomal RNA", at positions 459 to 872 of the family's 1478-position model. The record is from RNAcentral.
CAGCCGCCGCGGUAAUACCAACCCCGCGAGUGGUCGGGACGUUUAUUGGGCCUAAAGCGUCCGUAGCCGGCCCGGUAAGUCCCUCCUUAAAGCCCACGGCUCAACCGUGGGAGCGGAGGGAUACUGCCGGGCUAGGGGGCGGGAGAGGCCGGGGGUACUCCUGGGGUAGGGGCGAAAUCCUAUAAUCCCAGGAGGACCACCAGUGGCGAAGGCGCCCGGCUAGCACGCGCCCGACGGUGAGGGACGAAAGCUGGGGGAGCAAAGGGGAUUAGAUACCCGGGUAGUCCCGGCUGUAAACGAUGCGGGCUAGCUGUUGGGUGGGCUGAGAGCCCACCCAGUGGCGCAGGGAAGCCGUUAAGCCCGCCGCCUGGGGAGUACGGCCGCAAGGCUGAAACUUAAAGGAAUUGGCGGG